GACUGUGUCGCUUUGGCAGUGCACUACUAGCUGGCUGUUGAGAUAUAUUCAUUUUUACAGUGGUUAGUUGCACUCCACACUGAUGCAGUC
This is a microRNA precursor of Anolis carolinensis (green anole), 90 nucleotides long. NCBI's taxonomy places the organism in Eukaryota, Metazoa, Chordata, Lepidosauria, Squamata, Anolidae. The record is from Ensembl.